CGAGGAAUAUUGCACAAUGGGCGCAAGCCUGAUGCAGCAACGCCGCGUGAGGGACGAAGGCCUUCGGGUUGUAAACCUCUUUUCUGAGGGACGAGGAAGGACGGUACCUCAGGAAUAAGUCUCGGCUAACUACGUGCCAGCAGCCGCGGUAAAACGUAGGAGGCGAGCGUUAUCCGGAUUUACUGGGCGUAAAGCGCGCGCAGGUGGCUUCGUGAGUCGGACAUGAAAGCUCCUGGCUUAACAGGGAGAGCCUGUUCGAUACUGCGGGGCUUGAGGUUGGGAGAGGGACGCGGAAUUCCCGGUGUAGUGGUGGAAUGCGUAGAUAUCGGGAGGAACACCAGUGGCGCAAGCGGCGUCCUGGCCCACACCUGACGCUGAGGUGCGAAAGCGUGGGUAGCAAACAG
This 404-nucleotide ribosomal RNA is filed under the name uncultured bacterium. RNAcentral describes it as "bacterial SSU rRNA". It matches the Rfam family "Bacterial small subunit ribosomal RNA", at positions 355 to 775 of the family's 1533-position model. The record is from RNAcentral.